This 392-nucleotide long non-coding RNA is filed under the name Crocodylus porosus (Australian saltwater crocodile). RNAcentral's name for it is "lncRNA (ENSCPRG00005005284.1)". The record is from RNAcentral. Lineage: Eukaryota; Metazoa; Chordata; Crocodylia; Crocodylidae.
UAAUAAUGUGUGAUUAAUAACCACAUAUUGUGCUGUGACAAGGAACUGGUGGAAGAUCAGAGAGAAGGGGGGCGAGAUACUAUCUGGUGGGCUAAAUGAAGGGGCAUCAGAGGGGAAAAGAGGGAGUGAGUUAGCAUGACAUGGAUGUCCAGCUGGAAACCACAGCAAGAUCUUCUACAACAUUGUUUCCAGCAGCCAUGUAUCUGACUGAAGUGCUUGUACAGAACCCAUUUGGAAUUAAAAGCAUUCUGCUUAUAAACAUUUUCAUGUUUCAAAUAUGUCAGAAGAGAAUUGGGAGGAAAACAUUUUUCUCUUGGAGAAAACAACAGGAUCAAGAAACAUGUCUGGCUUUUUUAAAUGAUAAAGGAACAGGAAACAUCCUGAGAUAUUAG